CGGGCGCGACGGCUUGGCAAGCGGCCGUUCGCCCCCUGGGCGGGCAAGACGCUCCGCCGCGAGGCGUCGCGGUUCCUGGACGCCGCGCCCGGC
RNAcentral lists this transfer RNA (93 nucleotides) under Posidoniimonas corsicana. Its description in RNAcentral is "Planctomycetes bacterium KOR34 tRNA-Arg". The record is from RNAcentral. Lineage: Bacteria; Pseudomonadati; Planctomycetota; Planctomycetia; Pirellulales; Lacipirellulaceae.